Engraulis encrasicolus (European anchovy) is the source of this 504-nucleotide long non-coding RNA. RefSeq lists it as uncharacterized. Lineage: Eukaryota; Metazoa; Chordata; Actinopteri; Clupeiformes; Engraulidae. The transcript has 3 exons. The record is from RefSeq and is a predicted model, not a curated record.
CAGGUUUAUACUGCAAAUCAUCACUGAGGACCACAACUACAGCUUUAUACUGUAAAUCACAUCACUGAGGACCACAACUACAGCUUUAUACUGUAAAUCAUCACUGAGGACCACAACUACAGCUUUAUACUGUAAAUCAUGAGAUCACUGAGGACCACAACUACAGCUUUAUACUGUAAAUCACAUCACUGAGGACCACAACUACAGCUUUGAGAUGGCCAAGUGGUCAGUGUGGGGUACAUACAUCUGGAGUGAAGAGGUAGAUGAGGCCCUCGGUGGCUCCAGGGAGAGUCAGAGCUUGCACCAGGAAGAUGGUCAACACCAGGUCUUCCCUCACAGGGCAUUCGCUCCAUGGCAGAGGGUCCUCAAAAGCGUGAAAGAAGUACCACAGCACCCAGGCCAAUAUGACACAGUAGUACAUUCCAAUCAGGAACGAAAUCAGCAUGGAGGCCACACCUGUGCAGUGCACACAGUUUGUUAGCAUUAACCCGUUAACACACCAGA